UACGGAGGAUGCGAGCGUUAUCCGGAUUUAUUGGGUUUAAAGGGUGCGUAGGCGGGCUGUUAAGUCAGCGGUCAAAUGUCCGGGCUCAACCCGGGCCGGCCGUUGAAACUGGGGAUCUUGAGUGGGCGAGAAGUAUGCGGAAUGCGUGGUGUAGCGGUGAAAUGCAUAGAUAUCGCGCAGAACUCCGAUUGCGAAGGCAGCAUGCCGGCUCCACACUGACGCUGAGGCACGAAAGCGUGGGUAUCGAACAGG
This 252-nucleotide ribosomal RNA is filed under the name uncultured Bacteroidales bacterium. RNAcentral describes it as "partial 16S ribosomal RNA". It matches the Rfam family "Bacterial small subunit ribosomal RNA", at positions 524 to 776 of the family's 1533-position model. Lineage: Bacteria; Pseudomonadati; Bacteroidota; Bacteroidia; Bacteroidales. The record is from RNAcentral.